UGGAAAUUGAUCGGAUGCUCCAUCGGCU
Molecule: non-coding RNA, 28 nt
Filed under: Mus musculus (house mouse)
Lineage: Eukaryota; Metazoa; Chordata; Mammalia; Rodentia; Muridae
Source: RNAcentral